AUCGCUUCUCGGCCUUUUGGCUAAGAUCAAGUGUAGUACCAUUCUGUGUAUCCUUUUUGAGAAAGAAAAUAAAUUCAAAUGGUGUAAGUUAAUGAUAGAUGCUAUGCCUUAGAUAUAGUUUGAAUGCAUCCCCCAGCAUUCAUGGGCUGGAAGCUUC
Molecule: small nuclear RNA, 157 nt
Organism: Heterocephalus glaber (naked mole-rat)
Lineage: Eukaryota; Metazoa; Chordata; Mammalia; Rodentia; Bathyergidae
Gene: U2
Rfam family: U2 spliceosomal RNA
About the family: U2 is a small nuclear RNA (snRNA) component of the spliceosome (involved in pre-mRNA splicing).
Source: Ensembl